UACGGAGGGUGCAAGCGUUAUCCGGAUUCACUGGGUUUAAAGGGUGCGUAGGUGGGCAAGUAAGUCAGUGGUGAAAUCUCCGGGCUUAACCCGGAAACUGCCAUUGAUACUAUUUGUCUUGAAUACUGUGGAGGUCAGCGGAAUAUGUCAUGUAGCGGUGAAAUGCUUAGAUAUGACAUAGAACACCAAUUGCGAAGGCAGCUUGCUACACAAUUAUUGACACUGAGGCUCGAAAGCGUGGGGAUCAAACAGG
RNAcentral lists this ribosomal RNA (253 nucleotides) under uncultured bacterium. Its description in RNAcentral is "partial 16S ribosomal RNA". It matches the Rfam family "Bacterial small subunit ribosomal RNA", at positions 524 to 776 of the family's 1533-position model. The record is from RNAcentral.